Molecule: ribosomal RNA, 451 nt
Filed under: uncultured organism
Description: partial 16S ribosomal RNA
Rfam family: Bacterial small subunit ribosomal RNA
Source: RNAcentral
CGUACACUCCUGCGGGAGGCAGCAGUGGGGAAUAUUGGACAAUGGGCGCAAGCCUGCUCCAGCCAUGCCGCGUGAGUGAUGAAGGCCCUAGGGUUGUAAAGCUCUUUCACCGGUGAAGAUAAUGACGGUAACCGGAGAAGAAGCCCCGGCUAACUUCGUGCCAGCAGCCGCGGUAAUACGCAGGGGGCUAGCGUUGUUCGGAUUUACUGGGCGUAAAGCGCACGUAGGCGGACUAUUAAGUCAGGGGUGAAAUCCCGGGGCUCAACCCCGGAACUGCCUUUGAUACUGGUAGUCUUGAGUUCGAGAGAGGUGAGUGGAAUUCCGAGUGUAGAGGUGAAAUUCGUAGAUAUUCGGAGGAACACCAGUGGCGAAGGCGGCUCACUGGCUCGAUACUGACGCUGAGGUGCGAAAGCGUGGGGAGCAAACAGGAUUAGAAACCCCGGUAGUCCCA